Molecule: ribosomal RNA, 683 nt
Filed under: Escherichia coli
Lineage: Bacteria; Pseudomonadati; Pseudomonadota; Gammaproteobacteria; Enterobacterales; Enterobacteriaceae
Description: partial 23S ribosomal RNA
Rfam family: Bacterial large subunit ribosomal RNA
Source: RNAcentral
AAGCAGUGGGAGCACGCUUAGGCGUGUGACUGCGUACCUUUUGUAUAAUGGGUCAGCGACUUAUAUUCUGUAGCAAGGUUAACCGAAUAGGGGAGCCGAAGGGAAACCGAGUCUUAACUGGGCGUUAAGUUGCAGGGUAUAGACCCGAAACCCGGUGAUCUAGCCAUGGGCAGGUUGAAGGUUGGGUAACACUAACUGGAGGACCGAACCGACUAAUGUUGAAAAAUUAGCGGAUGACUUGUGGCUGGGGGUGAAAGGCCAAUCAAACCGGGAGAUAGCUGGUUCUCCCCGAAAGCUAUUUAGGUAGCGCCUCGUGAAUUCAUCUCCGGGGGUAGAGCACUGUUUCGGCAAGGGGGUCAUCCCGACUUACCAACCCGAUGCAAACUGCGAAUACCGGAGAAUGUUAUCACGGGAGACACACGGCGGGUGCUAACGUCCGUCGUGAAGAGGGAAACAACCCAGACCGCCAGCUAAGGUCCCAAAGUCAUGGUUAAGUGGGAAACGAUGUGGGAAGGCCCAGACAGCCAGGAUGUUGGCUUAGAAGCAGCCAUCAUUUAAAGAAAGCGUAAUAGCUCACUGGUCGAGUCGGCCUGCGCGGAAGAUGUAACGGGGCUAAACCAUGCACCGAAGCUGCGGCAGCGACGCUGAUGCGUUGUUGGGUAGGGGAGCGUUCUGUAAGCCUG